AAGUAAGAUUGAACCAGUUUUGCCUAAUCCUAAGACGCACAUUCAAUUUAGCAGGACUUGAUCUAAAAUAUCAAAGAUCUCUCAAUAAAUUUGUCAUAUUUAUUUUAGAACUGUGAGUUAAUAUUGAACGUUAUUACAAGAAAAACUUUCUCAAGAAUGAAGUUGCUUUAUUUUCUGAUUCUACUACUGCCUUUUCUGGUUGCUUUAGUGAAUGGUUGCAGCAGUAGCAGUUCCCCUGCGAAAGAACCAACAAUCUACUGUGCCAAAACUGAAGAUUGUCCUAAAAAUAAAAAAUGCACAUACUAUCUCAUACAAGACAAAAAUAUCUGCUCUUAGCCUAAUCUGCUGCUACACCAUGUCUAAAUCAAUUCUGCAGUUACUUACAUACUGUAAAGCCAUUUGUUUGAAAGCAAGAGAUUGAAAUUAAAAGAGCUUUGACAAAUAAUUAGCCGAGUAAGCUAAACCUCUAUCUGCACACGAUAUACAACUGAUAAUAUCCUACAAAAACAUAUACACCACUACAAUAACCUAACAUAGGUGUGAUUAUUCCCCUCUACCCCAACUUCACACAAGAAAAAUAUCGGCAUUUUCCGGCUGCGAUGUAGGCUAAUUUUAUGUGGUUGAUAAAAAGACUGGCAGAUGCGGAAUAAUAAUAUGAUGAGAUAAUUUCCACA
Long non-coding RNA from Physella acuta, 674 nucleotides. RefSeq lists it as uncharacterized. Lineage: Eukaryota; Metazoa; Mollusca; Gastropoda; Physidae. The record is from RefSeq and is a predicted model, not a curated record.